CUCGCACGCGCGCGCAGUGUAAAUUCCUGUCUGUUCCUGUCAACGAAAAUAACAACAGUCGAAACAAGAUCAGAUUCUUAGCGGUGUCCGAUUGUCAGCAUCAAACAACGUAUCUGGUACUGCUUGCAUCACGCCUUGCACGAUGUCAAGACGAUCGAGUCGCCCGUCGUCGGCAACCUCUCACGGCAGCAGGUCCUCCAACAUAGACCGGGACUUCAAGCUGAACUGCAAGGCAGCAUAUCUGUCCGUGUUUGACGACAUCAGAGAUGAAAUAACCUCAAAGAAUGAUCUCAUAUUAGUUCUUCAACAAUCAGGCCGCAAUCCUUCUCAGCGUACUUUGGAAAAGUAUUGGAAAUAUGAUACAGAUUCGUUAACGUUUAAUGACUUUGUUGACAUUUGUCAGCAGGAACAUGCUACCACUGCAGAAGAUCUUAUGAAAGCUUUCAAGAAGAUUGACGUAAAUGGCGAUGGGUACAUUUCUUUGGAUGAACUGCAUGACACUCUUACUAGUAAAGGAGAGAAAAUGAGUGAGGAUGAGGUCAGGGCCAUAAUCGAUGAAGUUGAUGAAAAUAAAGAUGGCCGUCUGGAUUAUGCAGAGGAACAAUUUUUCUAUAUUCAGUUCUGCAACAUGAUGAUGAAGACAGUGGAGGAAUCUAGGAAGAUGGCCAUGAAAAUCAUGGAGAAAAAGGAGAGAAAAAAACAACGCAGCAAACAAUCGGUCACCCCUAGAAAAGACAAGGAAGAAGAAGAUAUUCAAUCUUCAAGAACAUCUUUACAGUCAGGCUCUGGGCAUUUGAAAAAACGUCGUGGCUCAAAGUCGUCUAUGAUCAGCAUUGAUGAUUUGCCGAAGCCGUCUCCCAGAGUUAACCGAGACCGGAGCCAGCUGGCAGUGAAAUCUCACCUCCAGGAACCAAACAGUCUGAGUGACUGGACACAUAACUUCAGCCGAGGCUGCUUCUACCUGGAGGAUGGGAAAAUAAUCAACAACCAGUACUCGCUCAGUCUGCCAGAGGACUGCAGUGUGUGGUUCACCAUCAAACCCAUCAGAAUUGGAGAAGGGGGUGUAACUGAAAAUGGAUUUCCAGUGGACACAGCUUUGUUUAUUCUGAGGGACAGAGGUCAUUCACACGGACAGAGAGUGGUCACGUUCACAGAACAGAGAGACUCUCAAGGGAAAUACGGAGUUCGCUGUGACCUGAAAGCGGGGAAGUACAAGCUCAUUCCAUUCUCGACAGGAUGUCGACUGACACCGAGCAGGCAUCACCCGAAACACGAGUCUAAACUGGUUCAGAAGGACAAGCACAAUAACUUUGUCCUCACCAAGGUUUUCAGAAAGGCCCUCGAUGAAAUAUUUGAUAUGGUCGACCUGGACGAAAACGGCCUGUUGAGUCGGGAGGAGUUCAAUCUGUACACAUGGAGGACCAGUGGGGACGAAGUGGCUGAUGAAGAAUGGGAUGUAGUUGAAACCAACUGUGAUCUACAGGAUGGACAGAUCACGAGGGAGGGCUUUCUUCACCUCACGGAAAUGGAAGCCAAAGAGUCCGAUGGGGACGAGAAAGAUUUGUGGAUUACCCUGGAGAACAUGGGCUACGACAAGUCCCUUGUUUUGUCUGAGGCGUGUCCAUUCCGAUUGGACGUGUACACUGAGGACUGUGAGAAUGUGGAACUGAAGGUGUCGACGAAUGAACCAACCGACGAGUAUGUCGAAGAAGCUGUGUGUGAAUCGGUCGUAUCAAAGGGUGAAAGCUCAAAGAUCAAGGGAAUGCGAGACCUUACGUUAUACAACUACAUUGGCGAAACCAGGGCAACCAUUGUUGUGAAAAACGGGUCUUCGUCACAGGUUUCCGUGGAACUGGACUGUAGUGGCAGCCGGAAUUGCAUCAGUAACCCCAACACAUUACAGCACACAGUGUCUGUACCAGCUCAAACUACAGUGAUUGGAUAUCAUCUUCUACCACAUAACGAGAAAUCAGGAUGGACAGUUCAGUGUUCAGAGAAGAUUGUGAAAUGAGAAAUUAUGUUUACGCAAACUAUCACUAUUUAAUGUACAGUAACUACAGUUAGGAAAUGCAUCUGAUCUCAUGUUGUCCAUGAUACAACAUUUUGAGGAGUCUUACACAUAUCCAGUGUUCUUCAUUGCAACAUUCAUUCCAUAUAAACCAAAAUAUUCCAUGUUCCAAAGGUAAUUUUUAAUCUCUCUCCAGUUUUUAAAAUUUUUAAUGAAUGUACAUGUACAUCGUUUAUAGCUGUAUAUUAUAAUUAACAGACAUGAUGGUUUUCCCGUACUGAUUUUUAUUUUCUGCUUGUUAUAAUUUUUAAAGAGUGGUCUUUCGUGACAUUUUGCCUUAAUUUAUGGUGCCAGAGAAAACAUUUGUCAAGAAUAUUACAAUCUGAAUUUCUUGACUGUCCCAUAUUGUGAUUGGCCUACAGUUUCCAAUAAACCAAUGAUUCACUGCCUAACAAGUUGGCAAACAGUUUUCCUUUUGAAAAAAUAGCAUCGCAUGUUGUUAUAGCACAUACACACACCAAACCGGAAAGCCAUCUCUUAGUCCACAUUAACAUUACUAUGUUCGAGUAAAAUCUUCUCUCUUUUUUUUGGUAGGGUGCACAAUUAUGUCUGAAUUAAGCAUUUGUUGGAAAAUUAUAAAAGAUAUUGUAUUAAAUUAAUGUAUAUUGGUUAAUCGUGGUAAUUCUUGUGUAGGUAAUAAAGCACAAAUUUUAAUUGGUGUAACGUACAUUGUAUGUUUCUUUUUCCGUCCAUGUUGCUAUCAUUUCUUGUCAUUUAGGUUUAGGUUGAACCACACUGUCAGGUCAUUAUUUAUUGGUUGUUUUCCGUCCAUGUGUUUUUAGGUUUUCACUUUGUAUCUGAAAUCAGUAGACCGGUUUCUAAUGUUUUAUUUAAUAAUGAUAUAUAAUAUAUAUUUAUACAUAAUACAUUUCAUUACAUGUAUCUAUAUAGUUUACAUUAACAAUGUUGUAAGUUUCACAUGUGCUGUAAAUGUGUCAUCACAAAUGUGUCAUCACAUUUUAUUUCAUAGAAUGUGCUCUAAAAGUGAUAUGUGACAUGUCAGUAGGACAUAUUCUUCUUAUGACGUGGUAAAAUUAACAAACUCAGAGUAUCAGAUGUCUGAACGCUUUUACAAUGAUUGGGAAAACCCCCAACUAUUUUUUUUAUCUACACACAUCAGCAUUCUCAUAACAAGUAAUCGUUUGUGCAUACUCUAUAUUUUUGAAACUAAUAAAAAUUACAUUACAAAUUUUACAUCAUUUACAAGCAUUGAUUUCAGAAUGCCACUGUUUUGUGACAGGUGCUUGAAAGUGUUUAUUAGAAGUAAUUUGCAAAAGACAUUGUUCUUAAUUCAUCAGUAAAAAUUCAUAUGCAUAAUAGUUUUUAUUUAAACCUUUGCUUUAGCAUUGAAUAGAAAAAUCUUUAAGAAGUAGAAUGAAUACUGAUAGACUACGUACUGAUGGACUACGGACUGUGUAACCAAAUUAUGUUACAAUACAUUUUAGAAACAUCUGGUUGCAUUUCUUCUUGUUUUUGGCUCUUUUUUUCUCUUUUUUUUUUUGUGGGGUGGGGGUACAUGUAGGUGGGCGAGUGGGAAGGCACAGGUACUAUAAAGAUUUAUUGUUGAUUAUAUAAAGUACAUUUUGGGUCUAGUUAUUAUGUCAAGAUGAUCUAAACAAUAUAAAAAAAAAUAUGGAUAUCCUUGGCAGCUUUUUAGCCAAAACAGUUUUAAGUUGUGAGUGUCACAUUGUUUAGAGAAUUAAUUAUUGGUAGGCAUUUUAUUUUUCAAAAUAUAUUGAUUAAAGAAAAAUAUACACCUAGAAAUUAAUUAAGCACUGACUGAAUUGUAAUGCAGCCAAUAAGGCACGGCAAGUAUUGCACCCUCUAACCAGUGGACUGUUAGCACUCCCCAAGUCCCUUCCACCAGUCCAGAAUUUUGCACCCAGGGCACCUGCCCUGGUGGCCACGCCCACACUACAUGUAUGCCACUGAGGCACCUGCCCUGGUGGCCACGCCCACACUACAUGUAUGCCACUGAGGCACCUGCCCUGGUGGCCACGCCCACACUACAUGUAUGCCACUGAGGCACCUGCCCUGGUGGCCACGCCCACACUACAUGUAUGCCACUGAGGCACCUGCCCUGGUGGCCACGCCCACACUACAUGUAUGCCACUGAGGCACCCGCCCUGGUGGCCACGCCCACACUACAUGUAUGCCACUGAGGCACCCGCCCUGGUGGCCACGCCCACACUACAUGUAUGCCACUGAGGCACCCGCCCUGGUGGCCACGCCCACACUACAUGUAUGUCACUGAGGCACCUAUAAGUAGUUUUCCUGGCUAGUGGGGUUUAAACCCAAUAUUAAGAAUGUUUACAUAUUUUGUAUACUAGAUGUUCACUGAGAUGGCAUGAAUAAGUGGUGCUUAAUUAAUUUACAGGUGUAUAUUUCUAGGUUGCUUUUUAAUAGUGAGUAUGGAACCAAUCAAAAUAAUAAAAUAUAACAAUAGUACUCGACUCAUUGUGGUUCACAAAGUAAUGGUCACUACAGAUCUACAAUAGACUUGUCUGAUGCUGUUAUUUUUAUUAUUUCAAACAACGUCCAAUCUCAUUUGGUAUUCAGUAUUCAGCAUUAACAUAUGUAUUUUGAAUUUUAUUUCACAUUCCACAAAGGCCAGCAUAAUUAGAUUCAUAAUAUGCAUAUUGAAUAAACUCCAUUUAAAACCA
RNAcentral lists this unclassified non-coding RNA (4731 nucleotides) under Gigantopelta aegis. RNAcentral's name for it is "eF-hand calcium-binding domain-containing protein 7- like, transcript variant X8". Lineage: Eukaryota; Metazoa; Mollusca; Gastropoda; Neomphalida; Peltospiridae. The record is from RNAcentral.